This 132-nucleotide small nucleolar RNA is filed under the name Castor canadensis (American beaver). RNAcentral's name for it is "Small nucleolar RNA SNORA51 (ENSCCNG00000027474.1)". It matches the Rfam family "Small nucleolar RNA SNORA51". From Rfam's summary of the family: ACA51 is a member of the H/ACA class of snoRNA that guide the sites of modification of uridines to pseudouridines. Lineage: Eukaryota; Metazoa; Chordata; Mammalia; Rodentia; Castoridae. The record is from Rfam by way of RNAcentral.
AGCUUCCUGGUGCUUACUAUAGGCUGUGUUCUUAGACUGACCCUACAGGAAGAGGAGAGAAGGUAAACCCACCCCAUGAACACCUCAGCCCAGGCCUUGUGCCUGGUCUGUAUUGUGAAUAAGGUGUGAGAA